GGCAGGUGGGGCCGCACCUGCGCGACAGCCCGCCGCUUCCCUCCGCUCCCUUCGCCGCGCCUCGCGUGCUAGCGGUGCCCUUGUGAGCCACUGCGUUCUCCAAGGCCAGAACGGGACAGCAAAAAAGACAGAAGAUUAAAGGAUCUGAAAUUCAUUCAACGAUAAAAGUGCUUAAAACAUUCUAUCUUGGAGAGAUUUACAUUUUAAUUGGUAGCAAGCUUGAAAAGAAAAGAAUGAAGAUCUUGGAUACUUCUAAUCAUCAAGGAAAGGGUACAAAUCAAACUGCUCUGAUGGCCUGAUUUGCACUUCUUCUACAGUUGACGAUGGUCGUACUUCUCCAUGUUCUGAGACCAGUUUAAACAAAAACAAAAACCAGACAACAACCUUGCAAGGGAAAGAAUUCAGAGUAAAUAAACAGUCUUUUUCUGGGAAGUAAAAUAUUUCCCUAAGAUGGAGAAAUUGAGAUGAGAGCUCAUCCACAAGAUUACCCAUCAAUGAGCACCAAUAGCAACCAAAUCCACUAGAAGACUGGGAGCUUUUAAGUCAAGAAACUUACAUCAGUAUCAUCAUUCCAAGAAGCGGUAUCCAAGCUGUUUUAUCGAAAGUGCGCAUGGGAGAUAAGACUCUGAGAAUUUAUAGAAACAAACAUUAGAAGGCAGGAAUGUGGAGAGAAGAAAGCUACCUGACAAGGGAAUCUCAGGAUACAAGGAAAACACCAAGAAGACACCUGCCUGAGGGUCUUAUAGCUAAUGGACUGCAGAAGACUUGAGUCAUCAUUCAAAUUCAGUAGCCAUCCUCUGAUGUCCAGUUGAAGAUUGGUGAUUCCAGAAUAGCUCGCAUUGCCCCAGUUGACUUGCCACACAGCUUCUUUCAGGACUUGAAAAUGUCCUAGCCACCCCCAUCUUACCUCCUACUUCCAAUGCCUUUUAAGAUAGAAAACAAAAAACAAAACAACAAAAAAACACCAGCCACCCUUGUGGGUUAGAUAAUCCUACAUCAAGGUGAAUUCUUGAUAACCAGUUCUGUUCUUCCUUAUGUCUUGUAAACAUGCUAAUUAGAAGGAGCUUGUGUUUGAAGAUCAAGGGAGGAAGAAUUCUGAAGCCAGGGCUAGCCUUAGGGGACAUAACUCCUUCCAGUCACUUCCUGAAUUUUUUGGUACCUGGCUUUUGAGAGUCCUCCAAAGUGAGAAUUUCAUGACAUGUAACCUCUCAACACCUGCAUUUUAAAAAAUUGUCCAAAAUACCGCAGAUACCACAGAAAAGUCCAAAACUUAAGUUUUUCCCUCCACUCAGAGCAUCUUAGCAACAUACUAACCAUAAGACUCUAAGCGCUCUUACCCUCAAUGCAAUUCUCACUGAAUAUCCUGUCAGGAGAACUCUACCUCUCUUCCAUGUUAUUAAGGUUAUUGUUCUUUGCAAGGUGUACACAACACAAAUAUAUUUCUUGGUGAAUGAACUCACUCUCAAAGACUGCUGUCCUUGGGGAUAUAGCCAACAUGCCAUAUCCACAACAUAGGUCUUCUUUACAGUCCUGUUGAAACAUGUAAGAUCAGCUACUAAGUCCCUGCAUCUCAGACAGGAACUUAAUAGAGUACAUUUAAAAAAAAAAUUCAGAAGUAAUUAAAACAAAUUGCAUACAAGCCACCUGUUUAGAAAGUUCAUAAAUUUUAUGCAAUUAUUUAUCUCUUUAUUUUUUCUGAAAUCAAGAGCAGAAUGUAUCCAAGUGAAACUAAAAGAGCGAGGUCAAGGGGAAACAACACAGGGCUUGUGGAGUCAUAAAUAUGUAUUAAAGCAGCAGAGUUAAUUUUGUCCCAAGUUCCAUAUUGGCCAGGAAAAAAGAAACAAGAUCAGCAGAGUUAACAGCUCUCAACCUGAAUAUGCCUCAGAAUUUCUAGGAGGACUUAAGUAAUGAGAUUCCUGGGUUUCUACAUGGACCAACUCAAUCAAACUCUUCAGGAGACAGCUGCUGUUGUUAGACUGUGUCUCCCAAAAUUCUUGUGUUGGAAACUUAGUUCCCAAUGUAAUGAUACUGGCAGGUGUGGCCUAGUGGGGGGUGUUUAGAUCAUGAGGGCUUCAGCCUCAUGAAUGGAUUAAUGUUGAUAUCUCAGGAGUGAGUUUCCUCUUGCUCUCUGUAGCCCUCUCUCUUGCCACAUGAUGACUUCCACCAGGUUAUGACUCAACAGGAAGGCCCUCACAAGAUGUGGAACCUCAAUCUUAGACUUCUCAGCCUCCAGAAGUGAGCCAAAUAAAUUUCUGUUCAUUAUA
This 2264-nucleotide long non-coding RNA is filed under the name Homo sapiens (human). RNAcentral's name for it is "lymphatic endothelial transcriptional regulator lncRNA 1". Lineage: Eukaryota; Metazoa; Chordata; Mammalia; Primates; Hominidae. The record is from RNAcentral.